RNAcentral lists this ribosomal RNA (513 nucleotides) under uncultured archaeon. Its description in RNAcentral is "bacterial SSU rRNA". It matches the Rfam family "Archaeal small subunit ribosomal RNA", at positions 346 to 859 of the family's 1478-position model. The record is from RNAcentral.
AACUCUACAAUGCAGGCAACUGCGAUAGGGGAACAUCGAGUGAUACUCAUCUUGGGUGUCUGUCCUCCCGUCUAAAAAACGGGAGUUAGCAAGGGCCGGGCAAGACCGGUGCCAGCCGCCGCGGUAAUACCGGCGGCUCGAGUGGUGGCCGAUAUUAUUGAGUCUAAAGGGUCCGUAGCCGGCUUUGCAAGUCUUUUGGGAAAUCCAGCGGCUUAACCGUUGGUCGUCCGGGAGAUACUACAUUGCUUGGGACUGGGAGAGGUAGGGGGUACUCAGGGGGUAGGAGUGAAAUCCUGUAAUCCUUUGGGGACCACCGGUGGCGAAGGCGUCCUACCAGAACAGGUCCGACGGUGAGGGACGAAAGCUAGGGGCACGAACCGGAUUAGAUACCCGGGUAGUCCUAGCCGUAAACGAUGCUCGCUAGGUGUCACAACAAUCGUGAAUUGUUGUGGUGCCGUAGGGAAGCCGUGAAGCGAGCCACUUGGGAAGUACGACCGCAAGGUUGAAACUUAA